Molecule: ribosomal RNA, 497 nt
Filed under: uncultured bacterium
Lineage: Bacteria
Description: partial 16S ribosomal RNA
Rfam family: Bacterial small subunit ribosomal RNA
Source: RNAcentral
GAUGAACGCUGGCGGCGUGCCUAAUACAUGCAAGUCGAGCGAACAGACGAGGAGCUUGCUCCUCUGACGUUAGCGGCGGACGGGUGAGUAACACGUGGAUAACCUACCUAUAAGACUGGGAUAACUUCGGGAAACCGGAGCUAAUACCGGAUAAUAUAUUGAACCGCAUGGUUCAAUAGUGAAAGACGGUUUUGCUGUCACUUAUAGAUGGAUCCGCGCCGCAUUAGCUAGUUGGUAAGGUAAAGGCUUACCAAGGCGACGAUGCGUAGCCGACCUGAGAGGGUGAUCGGCCACACUGGAACUGAGACACGGUCCAGACUCCUACGGGAGGCAGCAGUAGGGAAUCUUCCGCAAUGGGCGAAAGCCUGACGGAGCAACGCCGCGUGAGUGAUGAAGGUCUUCGGAUCGUAAAACUCUGUCAUUAGGGAAGAACAAAUGUGUAAGUAACUAUGCACGUCUUGACGGUACCUAAUCAGAAAGCCACGGCUAACUACGUG